UACGUAGGGUGCAAGCGUUGUCCGGAAUUAUUGGGCGUAAAGAGCUCGUAGGCGGUCUGUCACGUCGGCUGUGAAAUCCCGAGGCUCAACCUCGGGUCUGCAGUCGAUACGGGCAAACUAGAGUAUUGCAGGGGAGACUGGAAUUCCUGGUGUAGCGGUGAAAUGCGCAGAUAUCAGGAGGAACACCGGUGGCGAAGGCGGGUCUCUGGGCAGUAACUGACGCUGAGGAGCGAAAGCGUGGGGAGCGAACAGG
This 253-nucleotide ribosomal RNA is filed under the name uncultured bacterium. RNAcentral describes it as "partial 16S ribosomal RNA". It matches the Rfam family "Bacterial small subunit ribosomal RNA", at positions 524 to 776 of the family's 1533-position model. The record is from RNAcentral.